Paramuricea clavata is the source of this 1352-nucleotide non-coding RNA. Lineage: Eukaryota; Metazoa; Cnidaria; Anthozoa; Malacalcyonacea; Plexauridae. The record is from the annotation of a GenBank genome assembly.
CUCAUUUUUAAAGCAUGUUCUUUCUUCUUUUUACUAAUCAAUUGUUUAGACUGGAUCCUUAAAAGUUUAUACUUUUCGAGAUCGCUGAGUGAUUGAGAUUUUAAGGCCUUCCGUCUCUGGAUGUUUUUCUCUCUCAAUAAUUGUCGCAGCUCUGUAUCCAUCCAUGAGGGAUCAUUAGCAUUAUUUAUGGUGAGUUUGGGUACAUUGUCAUUGACAAUUGACAUAAACAUAUCAUACCAAUUUGAAAGCGAUUGUUCUACAUCACUGAUCACAAAGCACAAAUCCCAAGGCGCACGUGUCAACAUUUCUUUAAGUCCCGUCCAAUUUGCAUUUCUUAGAUUGUAUAUAAUUCGCUUCACUUUUGGUAGUUUUUUAAUUUGAAGGUCAAUCUGAAAGCUUAUAUGUUUAUGAUCCGUUUCGAGAAUAUCUUCAAAACCCUGAACGUUAACUAUUUUGUCUGGGACGUUAGUUAGAAGCAAGUCCAAAAUAUUAUCUUCUCUGGUCGGGAAAUCAACUAACUGAUACAAAAAGUUAUCCUUAACUGUUUUAGCAAAAGCGUUCCCAAUAGCUUCACCAGUAAUUGCCAUGCCCGUUGACCAGUCAAUAUUGGGGAGAUUAAAAUCUCCAAGCACAAUAAUCCUCUCAAGGUUCGCCUUAGAUACAAGUUUUAGCGACUUUUUAAACUCCUUAAUGUAAUUAAGGUCAGUAUCCGGUGGUCUGUAGAAAACUAUAAUGAGUAACUUACCCUUUGACUCGGGGCGUACUUCACAAGCAAUAAUUUCUGAGCUUGUUUCAAGAUCUGUUCUUCGAACACUUCGAAUUGAGUUCCUGACCGCAAGUAGGACUCCGCCACCUACUCGAUUGGUUCUAUCCCUCCGAUGGAUUGUAAAUGAAUUACCAGGCAAUAAUUCUGUGUUUAAAAUAUCCGGCUUUAACCAUGUCUCAGUAACAGCGAUCAUGUCAGUAUCAACAGCAAGCGCUUGUAAUUCGGCAGUUUUAUUCGCAAGGCUUCUAGCAUUUAGAUAUAAGCCUUUGAUUCUGAAUUUGUUUACAUUGCCACUAUCCGGUCCUGGAUUAGGAUGUAUACCGAUCAAGCGGAUUUUCUCGAAGGAAAAACAUGCUGUACAAUUGUGAUAGUAUUUAACUCUUCGUUUAAAAUACCCAGAUCUCUGAACACACAUAUUUCCAUUAGUGAGGUGAUUCGACCGCGUAUAACAGCACACAUUGUUAACAGCCGUAUGUCCACACAAACAUUCGCAAUUCGGGCCAAAUCUGCCCCGGUUUAGACAAAUAAUCACAAUAAUUAUAAGUAGAAGCAAGAAAGCCGAUCCAGACGACGCCAUGAUGCUUGU